CGGGUGAGUAACGCGUGAGGAGCCUGCCUCAAAGAGGGGGACAACAGUUGGAAACGACUGCUAAUACCGCAUAAGCCCACGGCUCGGCAUCGAGCAGAGGGAAAAGGAGUGAUCCGCUUUGAGAUGGCCUCGCGUCCGAUUAGCUAGUUGGUGAGGUAACGGCCCACCAAGGCGACGAUCGGUAGCCGGACUGAGAGGUUGAACGGCCACAUUGGGACUGAGACACGGCCCAG
Molecule: ribosomal RNA, 233 nt
Filed under: uncultured bacterium
Lineage: Bacteria
Description: partial 16S ribosomal RNA
Rfam family: Bacterial small subunit ribosomal RNA
Source: RNAcentral